RNAcentral lists this ribosomal RNA (483 nucleotides) under uncultured bacterium. RNAcentral's name for it is "partial 16S ribosomal RNA". It matches the Rfam family "Bacterial small subunit ribosomal RNA", at positions 30 to 507 of the family's 1533-position model. The record is from RNAcentral.
AUUGAACGCUGGCGGCAGGCCUAACACAUGCAAGUCGAGCGGAUGAAGGGAGCUUGCUCCUGGAUUCAGCGGCGGACGGGUGAGUAAUGCCUAGGAAUCUGCCUGUUUGUGUGGGAUAACGUCCGAACACGGGCGCUAAUACCGCAUACGUCCUGAGGGAGAAAGUGGGGGAUCUUCGGACCUCCCGCUAUCAGAUGAGCCUAGGUCGGAUUAGCUAGUUGGUGGGUAAAGGCCUACCAAGGCGACGAUCCGUAACUGGUCUGAGAGGAUGAUCAGUCACACUGGAACUGAGACACGGUCCAGACUCCUACGGGAGGCAGCAGUGGGGAAUAUUGGACAAUGGGCGAAAGCCUGAUCCAGCCAUGCCGCGUGUGUGAAGAAGGUCUUCGGAUUGUAAAGCACUUUAAGUUGGGAGGAAGGGCAGUAAGUUAAUACCUUGCUGUUUUGACGGUACCAACAGAAUAAGCACCGGCUAACUUCGUG